This is a long non-coding RNA of Mytilus californianus (California mussel), 628 nucleotides long. RefSeq lists it as uncharacterized. The transcript has 5 exons. The record is from RefSeq and is a predicted model, not a curated record. Lineage: Eukaryota; Metazoa; Mollusca; Bivalvia; Mytilida; Mytilidae.
CCGGUUCACAAGUGUAUAUAUAAACGGUUUGAUAAUUCAGACAAGGCACGUCUAUUUAUUCAAUAACUAAAGAAUAACCAUGAAGCUAACGAUAGUAAUCAUCGUUUGUCUUGUGCUGAUAAAUGUCAUUUCCGAGGCCUAUGGAUGUACAUGUUCUGGUGGUACAAAUCAAGAAUUGUUCUGUAGCGCUAAAUUCGUUUCACGAGGAAAGGUUACAGGAAUUAAGAACCUGAGCGCAGAUCAAGUUGAAUACACAGUGGCCGUGAACCAUAAUUUUAAGAUCAAGGUUUCAAACACACUUAAAGUUCGAUCCGCCAGAAGUUCAGCUACGUGUGCGGUCAAUUUUAAGAAAGGAGUUGUAUAUUUGUUGUCAGGAGCUGUAAGUGGUUCAACAUACCAUACAACUAGUUGCCAGUGGAAUCAUAAAUGGCAGGAUAUAAGCUCUGAUACACGAACAAAACUCUUGGGUGGACAAUUUAAUAAUUGUUAGUCGUAAUAUCACAAAGUCUUUUAUCAAAACAUUCUGUCGAAUGCUAUAAUAAUAUAUAACACAAAGUCAUGCAAAAUAGAUAAAUCUUUCAAAAAAGUAUUCAUUUUUUUAUAAAAUAAAAGAUUUUCAAAACUGCAA